Molecule: ribosomal RNA, 1011 nt
Filed under: Myrothecium sp. DGD-2016a
Lineage: Eukaryota; Fungi; Ascomycota; Sordariomycetes; Hypocreales; Stachybotryaceae
Description: SSU rRNA
Rfam family: Eukaryotic small subunit ribosomal RNA
Source: RNAcentral
GAAACUGCGAAUGGCUCAUUAUAUAAGUUAUCGUUUAUUUGAUAGUACCUUACUACUUGGAUAACCGUGGUAAUUCUAGAGCUAAUACAUGCUAAAAAUCCCGACUUCGGAAGGGAUGUAUUUAUUAGAUUAAAAACCAAUGCCCUCUGGGCUUCUUGGUGAUUCAUGAUAACUUCUCGAAUCGCACGGCCUUGCGCCGGCGAUGGUUCAUUCAAAUUUCUUCCCUAUCAACUUUCGAUGUUUGGGUAGUGGCCAAACAUGGUUGCAACGGGUAACGGAGGGUUAGGGCUCGACCCCGGAGAAGGAGCCUGAGAAACGGCUACUACAUCCAAGGAAGGCAGCAGGCGCGCAAAUUACCCAAUCCCGACACGGGGAGGUAGUGACAAUAAAUACUGAUACAGGGCUCUUUUGGGUCUUGUAAUUGGAAUGAGUACAAUUUAAAUCCCUUAACGAGGAACAAUUGGAGGGCAAGUCUGGUGCCAGCAGCCGCGGUAAUUCCAGCUCCAAUAGCGUAUAUUAAAGUUGUUGUGGUUAAAAAGCUCGUAGUUGAACCUUGGGCCUGGCUGGCCGGUCCGCCUCACCGCGUGUACUGGUCCGGCCGGGCCUUUCCCUCUGUGGAACCCCAUGCCCUUCACUGGGUGUGGCGGGGAAACAGGACUUUUACUUUGAAAAAAUUAGAGUGCUCCAGGCAGGCCUAUGCUCGAAUACAUUAGCAUGGAAUAAUAGAAUAGGACGUGUGGUUCUAUUUUGUUGGUUUCUAGGACCGCCGUAAUGAUUAAUAGGGACAGUCGGGGGCAUCAGUAUUCAAUUGUCAGAGGUGAAAUUCUUGGAUUUAUUGAAGACUAACUACUGCGAAAGCAUUUGCCAAGGAUGUUUUCAUUAAUCAGGAACGAAAGUUAGGGGAUCGAAGACGAUCAGAUACCGUCGUAGUCUUAACCAUAAACUAUGCCGACUAGGGAUCGGACGAUGUUACUUAUUGACUCGUUCGGCACCUUACGAGAAAUCAAAGUG